Molecule: ribosomal RNA, 254 nt
Filed under: uncultured bacterium
Lineage: Bacteria
Description: partial 16S ribosomal RNA
Rfam family: Bacterial small subunit ribosomal RNA
Source: RNAcentral
CACGUAGGGAGCAAGCGUUGUCCGGAUUUACUGGGCGUAAAGAGCUCGUAGGCUGUUCGAUAAGUCGGGUGUGAAACCUCCAGGCUCAACCUGGAGACGCCACCCGAUACUGUCAUGACUAGAGUCCGGUAGGGGAGCGUGGAAUUCCUGGUGUAGCGGUGAAAUGCGCAGAUAUCAGGAGGAACACCAGCGGCGAAGGCGGCGCUCUGGGCCGGUACUGACGCUGAGGAGCGAAAGCGUGGGUAGCAAACAGG